CGCGGCCUAUCAGCUUGUUGGUGGGGUAAUGGCCUACCAAGGCAACGACGGGUAGCUGGUCUGAGAGGAUGAUCAGCCACACUGGGACUGAGACACGGCCCAGACUCCUACGGGAGGCAGCAGUGGGGAAUCUUGCGCAAUGGGCGAAAGCCUGACGCAGCAGCGCCGCGUGCGGGAUGAAGGCCUUCGGGCUGUAAACCGCUUUCAGCAGGAACGAAAAUGACGGUACCUGCAGAAGAAGGAGCGGCCAACUACGUGCCAGCAGCCGCGGUGACACGUAGGCUCCAAGCGUUGUCCGGAUUUAUUGGGCGUAAAGAGCUCGUAGGCGGUUGAGUAAGUCGGGUGUGAAAACUCUGGGCUUAACCCGGAGACGCCAUCCGAUACUGCUCUGACUAGAGUUCAGGAGGGGAGUGGGGAAUUCCUAGUGUAGCGGUGAAAUGCGCAGAUAUUAGGAGGAACACCGGUGGCGAAGGCGCCACUCUGGACUGAA
This 490-nucleotide ribosomal RNA is filed under the name uncultured bacterium. RNAcentral's name for it is "bacterial SSU rRNA". It matches the Rfam family "Bacterial small subunit ribosomal RNA", at positions 232 to 738 of the family's 1533-position model. The record is from RNAcentral.